GAUGAAGAACGCAGCGAAAUGCGAUAAGUAGUGUGAAUUGCAGAAUUCAGUGAAUCAUCGAAUCUUUGAACGCACAUUGCGCCCCUUGGUAUUCCAUGGGGCAUGCCUGUUCGAGCGUCAUUUGUACCUUCAAGCUCAGCUUGGUGUUGGGCCCCGCCGCCCCGGCGGGCCCUAAAGUCAGUGGCGGUGCCGUCCGGCUCCGAGCGUAGUAAUUCUUCUCGCUCUGGAGGUCCGGUCGUGUGCUCGCCAGCAACCCCCAAUUUUUUUCAGGUUGACCUCGGAUCAGGUAGGGAUACCCGCUGAACUUAAGCAUAUCAAUAAGCGGAGGA
Molecule: unclassified non-coding RNA, 329 nt
Filed under: soil metagenome
Description: partial contains 5.8S ribosomal RNA, internal transcribed spacer 2, and large subunit ribosomal RNA
Rfam family: 5.8S ribosomal RNA (bases 1-120)
Source: RNAcentral